AGAGUUUGAUCAUGGCUCAGGAUGAACGCUAGCGGCAGGCCUAAUACAUGCAAGUCGAACGGUAAAUAUUCAGCAAUGGAUAUGAGAGUGACGUACGGGUGCGUAACACGUAUGCAACCUACCCUUUACAGGCGGAUAGCUCGGGGAAACUCGGAUUAACCCGUCAUAAUAUAAUUGGAUGGCAUCAUUUGAUUAUUAAAUCUACGGAGGUAAAGGAUGGGCAUGCGUCUGAUUAGUUAGUUGGCGGUGUAACGGACCACCAAGACGAUGAUCAGUAGGGGAACUGAGAGGUUGAUCCCCCACACUGGCACUGAGAUACGGGCCAGACUCCUACGGGAGGCAGCAGUAGGGAAUAUUGGUCAAUGGAUGGAAGUCUGAACCAGCCAUGCCGCGUGCAGGAAGAAGGCCUUCUGGGUUGUAAACUGCUUUUGCCAGGGGCUAAAAAGCCCAUGCGUGGGAAAUUGAAAGUACCUGGUGAAUAAGCCACGGCUAACUACGUGCCAGCAGCCGCGGUAAUACGUAGGUGGCAAGCGUUGUCCGGAUUUAUUGGGUUUAAAGGGUGCGUAGGCGGCUUUGUAAGUCAGUGGUGAAAUAUGGCAGCUCAACUGUCAAGGUGCCAUUGAUACUGCAGAGCUUGAGUACAGAUGAGGUAGGCGGAAUUGACGGUGUAGCGGUGAAAUGCUUAGAUAUCGUCAAGAACACCUAUAGCGAAGGCAGCUUACUAGGCUGUAACUGACGCUGAGGCACGAAAGUGUGGGGAUCAAACAGGAUUAGAUACCCUAGUAGUCC
Molecule: ribosomal RNA, 789 nt
Filed under: uncultured bacterium
Lineage: Bacteria
Description: bacterial SSU rRNA
Rfam family: Bacterial small subunit ribosomal RNA
Source: RNAcentral